GUGCCAGCCGCCGCGGUAAUACGAAGGUCCCGAGCGUUGUUCGGAAUCACUGGGCGUAAAGGGAGCGUAGGCGGCGUGGUAAGUCAGACGUGAAAUCCCGGGGCUCAACCCCGGAACUGCGUCCGAUACUGCCGUGCUUUGAGGGUUGGAGAGGUAGCUGGAAUUCUUGGUGUAGCAGUGAAAUGCGUGGAUAUCAAGAGGAACACUCGUGGCGAAAGCGAGCUACUGGACAACACCUGACGCUGAGGCUCGAAGGCCAGGGGAGCGAAAGGGAUUAGAAACCCCAGUAGUCC
Molecule: ribosomal RNA, 293 nt
Filed under: uncultured bacterium
Lineage: Bacteria
Description: partial 16S ribosomal RNA
Rfam family: Bacterial small subunit ribosomal RNA
Source: RNAcentral